CGAACUGCUGCACCCCGGGUCCUGGACCCACAGAGAGGCUGUGACCUCCUAGCACGCCUCACCAGCCCCCUUGCCUGAUCCUUCACCAAAUCUCCUCUUUCUUGGCCUUGGAGCUUCAUGAAGAAGGAGGUCUGAGAGCCCCCCCAUACGCAUCAUCCCAGAAAAGUCUAGGCCCCUUCUAUUCAUUGGUAUUUUUUUUCCCUUUCAUUCAACAAGAAAUUAGUGCAUGUCAGCAUGUGCCAGGCACGAGCAAGGCCGGGAGGCAGGAAGAGGGGCGGCCCCAGGCUACAGGGACCAGCCAGCCCCAUCCCUACCCCCUCUCCUUCUCGCCUGACUCAGCCGACAGCAGGAUGGGAAUAAAGGGCGCCCCACCAGCGUCCUCCAAUUUCCCGCUAUUCAGCUCAGACCUGAGUAGCAGCAGGCAGCCGAAAGGAUUUGCAGCUCUCUCCCAAAACAGCCCUCUUGGCCACCUCCCGCUUCCCACAUGGGCAAAGUCAGGACCACACCUGAGAAGGAGCCAAUUGGAGAAGACCCACCUUGGACCCUUCCUGGAGGAGAGGCAGUUCCCUGGCUGCCAGCACAAAGGCCAGGGCUGGGCCAACGUGCCUGCAAGCCUCACCCCCCAGAGACUUCCGCUGGGCUGUGGCCAACCUGGGCGGAGAUGUCAGCCUCCUCAGGAAGCCUCCUGCUCCGAGGGAGAGAGACAGACAAGCUGACAGUCAGUGGGGCAGGACACAAGGCCACGCCCCUUCCACCGGAGGCAGCAGGUGGGGAGACCCAGGAGAGAAGAGCGGCCGGAGAGGCUGAGGUCAGCAGCCACUUGGCUCUGGAAGCAGCUGCAGAUGUGUGGCCACACCAGCACCAGGGGACCCUAUUCUGCAUCUAUGCUGGGCUGGAAGACUGCAAAACCACUUGGCAGAAGACAUAAAUGAGAAAUCCUGUACCAAGUAAGGAUGAAAAGAAGAAUUGGAAACAAGUAUGCAAUCGGCCACCAACUAUCGAAUGGAAGCAAUAAAAAAGAACUCAACCAGGGCCGGGGAUUUAGCCCAAUGGUUCUGCCGCCUGCCUUGCAAGUGCAAGGAUCCAAGUUCGAUCCCUGGUACCAAAAAAAAAUUGUUUGUGCAAAAAGAACUCAACCCUACCCAUGCUCAUGCCUACACACUCUCGCACACCUUCCCUCUCUCUCCCUCAGAGGGACUCAGUUCCAAGGUGUGAAUACACCAAGUCUGCCCUCCUCAGGGCUGCCGUGCAUGUCAGAUGAGAAGAUGCAGGGAUGGUGCCUGCAGACGUGAACACACUCCACGCAUGUGGAUGAAGUAUCACUUGACCCCAAUUCUUCUCUCAGGGAGAAGGAAGCUCCUGCUGGGUCCUGAAGCUUCUUAGUUUUCUAGUUAGUUUCCUUUUGUUCCUCUCCAAAGCUCUGCUUACCCAGGAGAAUAAUGUCAACACUUAUGAUGCCAUUUUAAUCAUCCCAGGGGCAUUGAUCAUUAUUAUGAAUCCCAAAAUAGCUGAGCUAUUCAUGUUUGACAGUGCGAUCAUGCAGGGCUAUACAUCAUGGAACCUUCAAUGGAGGAUAUGCCUUGGUUUUCCAUGCACCUUCUCAUCUGUCGUCUCACAGAGAGGAGGUAUUCUCCCGAUUAUAGGGGUCCAAAACCAGGGGCCAAGGUGGGUCUGAUCACUCACCAGCUGGAGGACUGUGCUGGAAGGAUGGGCGCAGGUCCCUUCUCUGUUUCAGCAUGAGAUUUGCACACUGAGGGAAGUGUACGGCACCCCCCCACACACACACACACACACACACUGUGGGCUCCAUCUUUUCUCCCUAGCAUUGAGGUUUAAGGUUCCCACCUCCUUCCCAGCCCUGUUUCCUGGUCCCACCACCUCCUCCCCUGGGUCUUGCUCAACAAUGACCUUUUGGCAUCUCUGCCUCUCCCUCUGCACAGCUUCCACCUUGCCUCCCUGACAGGUGUGUUCAUGCCCCGACCACAUACCACCUGCUCCAGACGGACGCCCUCUCUGUUGCCCUCCCUGGCUCAGAUGCUCCUGAAAGCAGAGUCCGGGAUCCAGGCCUAGGGACAGGCACAAACUUAAGUAUCUACAUGGGUUGAAUUGUGUCCUCCCCAAGGCUAUGCUCAAGGUCUAACCUCUCAUUCCUGUGGAUGGAUCUUACUUAGGAAGAGGACCAAGUCCAGAGGAGCUCCCAUAGUGCUUCAGUGGGCUCUAACCCACUGAUGGACUUCCUUAAAAGAAGGAAGAUUUGGACCCAGAAACACUUCGGGAGACCACAAAGGCCUCAUAUUGGAGUAAUGUAUCUAUAAGCCCAAGCAUAAAAAGGAUUGCCAGCAUCACCUGGAAGCCAGUAGAGAGGUCUGGCCCUGACUCUCCCAAGAGCCUUCGGAGGGAACCACCCCUGCCAACACCUUGACUUUGGACUUUACCCUCCAGAACUGGGAGAGAAUUCGAAUGUCAUUUUAAGCGACUCUUGUCUGUUGGGAUUUGUUGCUGCAGCCACAAAGCCCAAACACAGUGUCCACCUCCUUAGGGCUUCUACACUCUCCUAAAAGAAGUGAGGCUGUGGUCACCUGCAUCCAGUUCUUUUGCAUGCAUUGUUACAAGGACAGCUGUGGCCCUGUGGAGCCAGCCCAAAUCCCAGCCCUCUGAGGGCAGGCGCCUUGUGUCCGAAACAGGAGCACCUCAACAACCAAGCACUGAUGUCAGCACCCAGGUUCCAGCACUCAGCAUCAUAAUCAGAAGAGACCAACACCUUGCUGGGCACGCUGACCGGACUCCACCAAUGCUAUUUCCCAGCCUGCAGACCACUCUGCCUGUCUCAGAUCACAGCCACUAAUGGGGAAUCCAGGGGACUCCAAGAAGAACAAAGGCCAACCAAGACGCCAGCGUGAGCCACCAAGUCCAGCCACGGUGACUUCCCCGGGGGACUUCUGCCACCGCACCCCCUGCCCACAGGGGCUUUCCUGGCCAAAGAGAUCCCUGGCUGAGAACCUCAAGGUUGAAGAUAAAUUCAUUUGCCUUCAGGUGCUUGAGCUGAUCCAUUAAUUACAGCUGACUUGGACCGGCUCUCUGUAAACAGGAUUACAGGCAGAAGCAUUCUGUCCUCUGGUCUUCUAAUGUGCCACCACAUGUGACAAUGGCUUGCCAAUUCCAGUCCCUGUGGGGAGGGCUUGUCCCCAUGACAAUGUGCAGGUGAGCAGGCUUUCCCCUCUCUCCUCCUCCUCAGGGACAGAGGCUGCAGGCCAGAGGAGUCUCUGGUAGGAAGGGAUCAGGUGGAGCCCCUCCAGGUACCUUUUCGGCACAUGAGGCAGAGCAACGUUCAGAGGUCCGGGAUGGUGGCUGACUCGGCUCCAGGGGGCCUGAGGGGAGAGGUGAAGGCGAUUCCACCCAGCCUGGAAACUCCCCGACUCUCAGCCUUCCCACUGGGAGAGGCAUCAGUGUCUGUCCCCUCCGACCAUUCCGGAGUACACGGGGCCUAGAUGCGGGGUUGGGUGAGCACCGCUGGCAGCACUGAAUUUCAGGGGAGGCUCCACUUCCUUCCCAGAGAAACGAAAGCUCAGGGCUGUCUGGGUGUCCCUGCAGCCUUUGCCCACAGCUUAAGUUCUGACACCUCACCUCUGAGGGCGGCCAGGCAGGGCCACAGGGGGCCUUCCAGGUCCUUCCACCCGUUCUCUGGGGCUGCACACACCCAGCAGGGCGGCCCCUCCCCACCCCACCGUCACCCACCUGCAG
Long non-coding RNA from Heterocephalus glaber (naked mole-rat), 3741 nucleotides. The record is from Ensembl. Lineage: Eukaryota; Metazoa; Chordata; Mammalia; Rodentia; Bathyergidae.